This 1884-nucleotide long non-coding RNA is filed under the name Lynx pardinus (Iberian lynx). Lineage: Eukaryota; Metazoa; Chordata; Mammalia; Carnivora; Felidae. The record is from RNAcentral.
GUGACGGGUGAGUAACGCGGCCAGGCAGCGGGGUGCGGGGCAGUCUUGGGCCUGUAGUGGCCUAACUAGGGAGACGCCGCGUGGUGGUGUCAGCGGAAUCGGAAACGGCCCAUUACAGCUACUUAUUGGGCGACCUUGGGGAAGUGACUUUACCUGUUAUCUGGCUGCAGGACAUGUUAAGGAAUUCAUGCAGGUGGAUAAAAAGGGAUUUUUGGAGUUCGAGUCCUUAGAACCUAUUUUAAAUUCCAGUUGUGUGGCUUUUCUACACUGAUUGGCGACUUUCAGUAAAUAGCUUAAUUUAAACCUGUCCGUAAAACGGAUGAUAAAAUGGUCCUGUAAAGAUUAAAUGAGACAAAACACUGGUACAUAACAAAAAUGAAGAGGAAGUUGGGACCUGGUAGUAGGAUAUCUGUUCUCUUAUUUGGUCUCCAGCAUGUCUCAGUAGGUGAAUUUCAGUUAUGCAAUAGUGCACAGGAUUUAGGGGAGUCUGAGGGUUGGACAGCAUUUGUGGCAGUCCUGAGACCUAAAUUGCCCUGUGGCCCUUAUCGAAGCUGCAGCUGCUUCCACAUAGCUGCUGUGGUCAAAAAGGAGCCCAGAGUGACAGUUUUCCUUGACGGUCGCCGUUCUGUUUGCUGUAACUGAUCUGCAACAUAUCAGGAAAAGACAAUUCCCAUCGUACCUGCCAUUUCUCCGAUAUAGGUGGAAUCCUUUAUUACAAUAGACAGGUUUCCAGAGGCCAACAGAAAUGCUCUGUUGAUGGGUCUUGCAUAGAGUUGCUAGAAUAAAACUUCUGAGAAGUAGAUUGCUGAGAUGAAGAACAAGUAUGGAGGGGCAGGCAGUGGGAAUGGGUUGGACAUGUGUGCUGGAAAAAUCCAGUGGCAAGUGGCACAGAUCUUAACAGUGCUUUGGGUCACUGCCCUGAAAAGCUUAAGGCAUAAGUACCAGGGUCAAAAGCCAGUCAAACAUUUUGAUUCUCAAGACCAGAAGGGAACAAUGUCAUUCAGGACAACUGUGUUCUCGUCUUAGUUGUGCCAGAUGAAGAUUCCAGGAGGACUCUGAGGUUGAGCUUUCUGGUGAGGAUUCUGUGGUCAUGACUGUGAUGGAACACAACCAUCUCAGGACCCGGUAGGUUUCUGGGAACUGCCUGGUGGGUCGGUACAGCAUGUUUCCAAGGGCUGUGGCCGGUUGUGGCCAUGGGAUCUCCAACUGCAUGCGAGAGCAACCUGGAGAGACUUUGACAGCACAGGUCAGCAUAAUACCUGCAGCUGCCACUCGCCUUUCCUAUAAACGGCUUGGGACCUGGGCUGGAAGCCUUCUAAGUGAGUCCGGGUGUUUUCCAUAAACUACCACGUAGAUGGUAGAUGGGUAUUUCGAUCAACUUUUUCGUUUAGAGCUUUCACCCUUUUUUCUGCAGGUUGCCCCCAAGUGUCCUGGCAGUAUCUGCUACUGAAGAAUCUGAAGUUACCAGGUCGUUGCUGUGCUUUAGAUAAGGUAAAGUUAGAUGUUGAAGACAUCCUGACCCUCCGGUUCCCUUUCCCAUCGGAUCUGAACACUGGUCUUGGUGGUCGUAAAAGGAGGAAAAAGAAUACUGAAACUAGCCUCCCAGUGCUUAUCGUCUGGUAUAUAGCUUGGAGGCUAGUUUCAAACAAGAUUUGAAUUCUCUUUGAUCUCCUCCCCUGUAAAAUGGGAUAAUCUUAGGCUUAAAGGGAGGAUGUCGGUGAAGGUCUGGGCAGUUGUAGUGAUGGCUGACUUAAUGCUUAUGAAUUUGAUCAACAUGAAUGUCCUUCUUGCCUCUUGGUUGAGAGUGUCCUGUUUUUUGUUUUUUUUUAAAGAUCUGUUACCAGUAAAGCUGUCCUUAUCUGUGAUUAUGGAUCUAUAGUUGGG